GACGAACGCUGGCGGCGUGCCUAAUACAUGCAAGUCAAGCGGAUUGAUGGGAGCUUGCUCCCUGAUAUCAGCGGCGGACGGGUGAGUAACACGUGGGCAACCUGCCUAUAAGACUGGGAUAACUUCGGGAAACCGGAGCUAAUACCGGAUAAUCCCUUUUCUCUCAUGAGGAAAGGCUGAAAGAUGGUUUACGCUAUCACUUAUAGAUGGGCCCGCGGCGCAUUAGGUAGUUGGUGAGGUAACGGCUCACCAAGGCAACGAUGCUUAGCCGACCUAAGAGUGAGAUCGGCCACACGGGGAAUGAGAACCGGCGCAGACGCCUGCGGGAGGAAGCAGUAGGGAAUCUUCCGCAAUGGGCGAAAGUCUGACGGAGCAACGCCGCGUGAGUGAUGAAGGUUUUCGGAUCGUAAAACUCUGUUGUUAGGGAAGAACAAGUACGAGAGUAACUGCUCGUACCUUGACGGUACCUAACCAGAAAGCCACGGCUAACUACGUGCCAGCCGCCGCCGUAA
This 512-nucleotide ribosomal RNA is filed under the name uncultured bacterium. Its description in RNAcentral is "partial 16S ribosomal RNA". It matches the Rfam family "Bacterial small subunit ribosomal RNA", at positions 28 to 523 of the family's 1533-position model. The record is from RNAcentral.